Long non-coding RNA from Armigeres subalbatus, 627 nucleotides. RefSeq lists it as uncharacterized. The record is from RefSeq and is a predicted model, not a curated record. The transcript is spliced from 5 exons. Lineage: Eukaryota; Metazoa; Arthropoda; Insecta; Diptera; Culicidae.
CAAACUUCGCCAUCGCAGCUAAUGAGAAAAUCUAUUAUCGAAUCGUUGAAAGGCAAAAAUCGUAUUUUGGUGUGUUUGAAUUCGAAAUUAUUUAUUACGAGCAGCAGAAAAAAGUGUAGGACGGUUGAGAUACCAAUACGGUGAAACUCCUGAUUUCCGAGCAGAAUAACUCCAAACGGCAAAUAAAGUCUAUCUCCUAUUCCUCCUGUAUAGAUCCAGUUUGUCGAUAAAAUCCACCAACCCAAAGGUAGGGUAGUUGAACCUUUCAUCAACACUAAAAAGGGAUUGGAAAGCAUUGUAGAAGGAAAGGAAACCAGUUUAUUUAUACGGUGAAACUCCUGAUUUCCGAGCAGAAUAACUCCAAACGGCAAAUAAAGUCUAUCUCCUAUUCCUCCUGUAUAGAUCCAGUUUGUCGAUAAAAUCCACCAACCCAAAGGUAGGGUAGUUGAACCUUUCAUCAACACUAAAAAGGGAUUGGAAAGCAUUGUAGAAGGAAAGGAAACCAGUUUAUUUGUAAGUACGUUAGAUAAUCAAAUUACUAUUAUCAUUUACGAAGGAAAUAAAAUUACAGUUUAGCGUUGCUGAAAAUCAAUCAGCUGCUUAGAAAAUUGGUUUCCCUGUCGGGAA